RNAcentral lists this ribosomal RNA (253 nucleotides) under uncultured prokaryote. RNAcentral describes it as "partial 16S ribosomal RNA". It matches the Rfam family "Bacterial small subunit ribosomal RNA", at positions 525 to 777 of the family's 1533-position model. The record is from RNAcentral.
ACGAAGGGUGCAAGCGUUACUCGGAAUUACUGGGCGUAAAGCGUGCGUAGGUGGUUUGUUAAGUCUGAUGUGAAAGCCCUGGGCUCAACCUGGGAACUGCAUUGGAUACUGGCUUACUAGAGUGCGGUAGAGGGUAGCGGAAUUCCCGGUGUAGCAGUGAAAUGCGUAGAUAUCGGGAAGAACACCCGUGGCGAAGGCGGCACUCUGGGACGGUACUGACGCUGAGACGCGAAAGCGUGGGGAGCGAACAGGA